This 886-nucleotide ribosomal RNA is filed under the name Clavariadelphus occidentalis. RNAcentral's name for it is "eukaryotic LSU rRNA". The stretch from base 496 to 886 matches the Rfam family "Eukaryotic large subunit ribosomal RNA", at positions 1 to 384 of the family's 3401-position model. The record is from RNAcentral. Lineage: Eukaryota; Fungi; Basidiomycota; Agaricomycetes; Gomphales; Clavariadelphaceae.
CUGCGGAAGGAUCAUUACAGUAAUUGGGUUGUCGCUCAAAGCAGCACACCCUCCAUAUACACACACCCCUUGUGCACCCUAUAUCUAUUACAGCCUGUCUCUAAUGCAUGUCUUGAUAAAUUCUACGGAAUAGAAUACAACUUUCAACAACGGAUCUCUUGGCUUUCGCAUCGAUGAAGGACGCCGCGAAAGUGCGAAACGUAAUGUGAAUUGCAGAAUUCAGUGAAUCAUCGAAUCUUUGAACGCAUCUUGCGCUCCUUGGUAUUCCGAGGAGCAUGCCUGUUUGAGUGUCGUGAAUCUCUCUCAAUCCCACCUCUGUGGGCUUGGAUUUGGAUGCUUGCCUAGAGGCUGACCUCUUUCGGCUCGUCUUGAAAUACAUCAGCUGGUCUGCCUAUGAGUUUGGUGGGUGUGAUUUAAGAAACAACUUGUGGCGCCAUUUCCAAACUCGGGAGGUUGACCGCCCUGAAAUACUACAUGUCUUCAUGUCAUGUCAUUUGACCUCAAAUCAGGUAGGACUACCCGCCGAACUUAAGCAUAUCAAUAAGCGGAGGAAAAGAAACUAACAAGGAUUCCCCUAGUAACGGCGAGUGAAGCGGGAAGAGCUCAAAUUUGUAAUCUGGCAGUCCUUUGGCUGUCCGAGUUGUAAUCUGGAGAAGUGUUUUCUGUGCUGGACCGUGUACAAGUCCCUUGGAACAGGGCGUCAUAGAGGGUGAGAAUCCCGUCUUUGACACGGACUCCCGGUGCUUUGUGAUGCGCUCUCGAAGAGUCGAGUUGUUUGGGAAUGCAGCUCAAAAUGGGUGGUAAAUUCCAUCUAAAGCUAAAUAUGGGCGAAAGACCGAUAGUGAACAAGUACCGUGAGGGAAAGAUGAAAAGCACUUUGGAAAGA